RNAcentral lists this unclassified non-coding RNA (357 nucleotides) under Hevea brasiliensis (rubber tree). Lineage: Eukaryota; Viridiplantae; Streptophyta; Magnoliopsida; Malpighiales; Euphorbiaceae. The record is from RNAcentral.
GUUUUAGAUCCCGUACAAUAUAUGUAGCCUUUACAUUAAUCAUAUGCAGAAAAAGAAAUAAUUUGUAAGAAUAGUAAAAGAUUAAAGUUUUAUUUUGAUAAAAAAUAUUAACAAAUACUUAUCAUCAUUCAGGCUAAGGAUCGGAUUGGGCAAGCAUUAGACGACAAUGAAUGUAACGAUCUUGUUGAUUCCAGACUGCAAGAAUAUAACGAGGAAGAAAUGAUAAGAAUGAUUUGUUGCGCUGCAGCUUCGGUGUAUAAACCUUCACAUUCUCGGCCAACAAUGAAACAGAUAAUUAAAGUGCUUGAAGGAACUAUGCCUCAUGUGAAGAUUAUGAAUUGGAAAGACAUCGAAACU